AGCCCUAGGAGCUCCCCUCAACUGCAGAAGGAGGAAGAACUGGGCUGGAGUGCAGUGGAAGAUGAAAGGAGGCAUCAUGCAAAGCCAGGCGUGAGCCCUGCAAGUGGCAGGGAUUCAGCAGUGAUGGGUCUGUGGCUACCCCAGGAGUUUAUCAUGAGCCACACUGGGAGUGGUGUACAAGAGCUUUGUAGUGAUUGAAGGAGAAAUCUGGAGUCCAAUUAACUGGAGUCAAAGAGGUUGGAGCACUUUGCAUCUGGUCUGUGCAGGCAGGAGGGACCAUAGGCACGGAGUGCUUGUGAGGGAGCACAGUGGAGAGGUGAGGAGAGGACCAGUGCAGAGAUGUCAUUUUCCCUUGCCCCAGACGUCUCUCUUUUCUUUGUUGAUGCUCUCUAUUCAAGCUUGCACCUAAAGUUGUAGGGUAGGUUCCCUGGAGGCACCUAUUUCUAUCACAGAGCGAAUAUGGCAAAAAAUCUCGCAGUGAAAUGACAUAUGGAC
This 495-nucleotide long non-coding RNA is filed under the name Struthio camelus australis. Its description in RNAcentral is "lncRNA (ENSSCUG00000013805.1)". The record is from RNAcentral. Lineage: Eukaryota; Metazoa; Chordata; Aves; Struthioniformes; Struthionidae.